GACGAACGCUGGCGGCGUGCUUAACACAUGCAAGUCGAGCGGUAAGGCCCUUUCGGGGGUACACGAGCGGCGAACGGGUGAGUAACACGUGGGUGACCUGCCCUCAGCUCUGGGAUAAGCCUGGGAAUCCGGGUCUAAUACUGGAUAUGACUCCAUGACGCAUGUUGUGGGUGGAAAGCCUUGUGCGGCUGAGGAUGGGCCCGCGGCCUAUCAGCUUGUUGGUGGGGUGAUGGCCUACCAAGGCGACGACGGGUAGCCGGCCUGAGAGGCGGACCGGCCACACUGGGACUGAGACACGGCCCAGACUCCUACCGGGAGGCAGCAGUGGGGAAUCUUGCGCAAUGGGCGAAAGCCUGACGCAGCGACGCCGCGUGAGGG
Molecule: ribosomal RNA, 378 nt
Filed under: uncultured bacterium
Lineage: Bacteria
Description: bacterial SSU rRNA
Rfam family: Bacterial small subunit ribosomal RNA
Source: RNAcentral